This 219-nucleotide long non-coding RNA is filed under the name Capra hircus (goat). RNAcentral describes it as "lncRNA (ENSCHIG00000002561.1)". The record is from RNAcentral. Lineage: Eukaryota; Metazoa; Chordata; Mammalia; Artiodactyla; Bovidae.
GUCAAAUUAAUUUGCUGGUCCUUUCUGUUUUCUUCACUCUUAGAAAAGCACCAAAUGUUAAACAAAUAGCACAUGGCUGAGAAAAAAAAUAAGUGUGCGGUUCCUGAGACAAGUGAUGCUCUGAAGAAGUGGGUUGAUUGCGGAGAUUCUCUGGUUGAUGUGGUUCGAGUGAAGAAACACUGGCCUAUUCUGUUUUCACUACUCGAGGUACAACUCUAA